Molecule: unclassified non-coding RNA, 290 nt
Organism: Cavia porcellus (domestic guinea pig)
Lineage: Eukaryota; Metazoa; Chordata; Mammalia; Rodentia; Caviidae
Gene: 7SK
Rfam family: 7SK RNA
About the family: 7SK was discovered as an abundant small nuclear RNA in the mid-70s but a possible function has only recently been suggested. Two independent studies have found that 7SK RNA binds the CDK9/cyclin T complex (known as elongation factor P-TEFb).
Source: Ensembl
GGAUGUGAAGGCAGUCUGGCUGCAAAGUGUGCCCUCUAUUUAGGGCUGGUUCUGCUAAUCUGGCUGGCUCCGUGAGGGUCUCCUUCCUCCCUCACUGCUCCAUGCGCAUCCCUCUGAGGCUGUGGUUACAGAGGAUGACCUUCGCCUAUAGAAGGGGACCAUUUCCUCAGUCAAGGGAAUAUGAAUAGCAGCAUCCCCUGCUAGAACCUCCAAAUAUGCUACCAGGAACAGCUUGGGCCAUAAGGGGACGUCUUGUCUCAAAAAAAAAAGUCAUUUUUUUAAAUCUAUAG